This 1439-nucleotide ribosomal RNA is filed under the name uncultured organism. Its description in RNAcentral is "16S ribosomal RNA". It matches the Rfam family "Bacterial small subunit ribosomal RNA". The record is from RNAcentral.
GGCGGCGUGCUUAACACAUGCCAGUCCAACGAUGAGGGUUAGAAUGAGAGCUUCGGCAGGAUUUCUUUCCAUCUUAGUGGCGGACGGGUGAGUAACGUGUGGGCAACCUGCCCUGUACUGGGGAAUAAUCAUUGGAAACGAUGACUAAUACCGCAUGUGGUCCUCGGAAGGCAUCUUCUGAGGAAGAAAGGAUUUAUUCGGUACAGGAUGGGCCCGCAUCUGAUUAGCUAGUUGGUGAGAUAACAGCCCACCAAGGCGACGAUCAGUAGCCGACCUGAGAGGGUGAUCGGCCACAUUGGGACUGAGACACGGCCCAAACUCCUACGGGAGGCAGCAGUGGGGAAUAUUGCACAAUGGGCGAAAGCCUGAUGCACCAACGCCGCGUGAAGGAUGAAGGGUUUCGGCUCGUAAACUUCUAUCAAUAGGGAAGAAACAAAUUACGGUACCUAAAUAAGAAGCCCCGGCUAACUACGUGCCAGCAGCCGCGGUAAUACGUAGGGGGCAAGCGUUAUCCGGAAUUACUGGGUGUAAAGGGAGCGUAGGCGGCGUGGUAAGCCACAUGCGAAAGCCUUGGGCUUUACCCGGAGGAUUGCAUUUGGAACUAUCAAGCUAGAGUACAGGAGAGGAAAGCGGAAUUCCUAGUGUAGCGGUGAAAUGCGUAGAUAUUAGGAAGAACACCAGUGGCGAAGGCGGCUUUCUGGACUGAAACUGACGCUGAGGCUCGAAAGCGUGGGGAGCAAACAGGAUUAGAUACCCUGGUAGUCCACGCCGUAAACGAUGAGUGCUAGGUGUCGGGGAGGAAUCCUCGGUGCCGCAGCUAACGCAAUAAGCACUCCACCUGGGGAGUACGACCGCAAGGUUGAAACUCAAAGGAAUUGACGGGGGCCCGCACAAGCGGUGGAGCAUGUGGUUUAAUUCGAAGCAACGCGAAGAACCUUACCAAGGCUUGACAUCCCGAUGACCGUCCUAGAGAUAGGACUUCUCUUCGGAGCAUCGGUGACAGGUGGUGCAUGGUUGUCGUCAGCUCGUGUCGUGAGAUGUUGGGUUAAGUCCCGCAACGAGCGCAACCCUUAUCUUCAGUAGCCAUCAUUCAGUUGGGCACUCUGGAGAGACUGCCGUGGAUAACACGGAGGAAGGUGGGGAUGACGUCAAAUCAUCAUGCCCCUUAUGUCUUGGGCUACACACGUGCUACAAUGGCUGGUAACAAAGUGACGCAAGACGGUGACGUUAAGCAAAUCACAAAAACCCAGUCCCAGUUCGGAUUGUAGUCUGCAACUCGACUACAUGAAGCUGGAAUCGCUAGUAAUCGCGAAUCAGCAUGUCGCGGUGAAUACGUUCCCGGGCCUUGUACACACCGCCCGUCACACCAUGGGAGUUGGAAGCACCCGAAGUCGGUGACCUAACCGUAAGGAAGGAGCCGCCGAAGGUGAAGCCAGUGA